Molecule: transfer RNA, 79 nt
Filed under: Actinomycetota bacterium
Lineage: Bacteria; Bacillati; Actinomycetota
Description: Actinobacteria bacterium tRNA-Met
Rfam family: tRNA
About the family: Transfer RNA (tRNA) molecules are approximately 80 nucleotides in length. Their secondary structure includes four short double-helical elements and three loops (D, anti-codon, and T loops).
Source: RNAcentral
GGCAGGGUGGAGCAGUCUGGUAGCUCGCCGGGCUCAUAACCCGGAGGUCGUAGGUUCAAAUCCUACCCCUGCAACUCCA